UCGGUGACCAGAGGGCGGCUGCCUCCCGCGCCCCUCGGGUGCGCGCGCGCGCCUGUUCCUCCCCUCAGGAGCCCCCGGGGAGGUCACGAGCCGGCGCGAGGCUCUGCCGAGGCUGUGUUUGCCGGUUACAGCCAAGCCGGAGUAACCUCACUGAUUUUUGUUUUCAAACAUUCCGUCUAAGCCUUCGGUGCACAAGGAACUCGAAUAUCUAUACUACCGUCAGGAUUUAUAACUCCCCCCUCACUUCCCGCCCCGCUCCCCUCAGAAGUUCCCUCUAAGCCUUCAGUGUACAAGGAACCUGAGUAUCUAUACUACCGUUAGUGUUAUAACUUCUCGCACUUCCCGCCGCCCCCCCAGGUGCGUGCGCCAUUUCUCCCCGCAGUCCCUCAGGCGCUUUCAGGCGCAAAGAAAAACUAAAGAGGGUCGUUGAAAGCCUCAGUUCCCAAGGUGUAUUUCUGUGGCGAUUUGAACAAAACCAGCCCUGUAGUGCUUCCGCUUCUUCCCCAUUCAUUUUUCCCAACUCGCGGCCGAGGGGAAGGUGUUUCUAGACCGCAGCAAAAUGCAGAUGACUUGACUGUGAAAAUUUUUGCUGCUUCCCAAAGCAAAAUUUUAUGAGCUCCAGUUUUAUCAGUGCUCCAUGCUCUUCCUUCAGCACAUUAUCUAUCUUAUGUGGAGCUGCAGGUAAAUCAUACUCUAUUGACUUGAGGGAAAAAAAAGAGACAAGUUGUUAUAAUAUGAAAUUACAUGUUCUAUGUUCUCCUAUUUUUGUCAAAACACUUUUCUCUUGUUUAGUGAUGAAUACUGUCAAUAUACUGCAGGAAAAGUAAGUCAUUGAUCAAAUAUUGAAAAUACAUCCUGCUUAGAAACCUGUCAAAACAGAGAAAAUUAUUCUAUACCUGAGGAUCUGAUAUUUUUCCGCACAUCUUCAUCUUUAUGUAGAUUAUUGCCGUUCAUAACCCACGGAAAUAAAAUCCUGAAACCACUGAAAUAAAGUUAUAUAUGGGGUUGUUAAUAAGGUACUGGCCUUUAUUUUACUCUCAGUGAAAUUCCAGGUGUGUGCUUUAACUGAUGUAAAAGCCAAAAAGGUAAAUCCCAUAACUGAGGACACAGGAAGAAAUGAUAAUUCUGAUGCUGUGCAUUAUAGGCUUGAAUAUUUAGUUGAGAUCAUCUUAAUUCUUGGCAGCUUUGGUGAAAUACCCAUGAGAAAGGUAGUUAUAUUUAAAAUAUUAUCACAGGGUAUGUAACCUGAUAUCCUUUUGGCCAGUGUUUCCUAUGAGAAAGGGCUAAAUGCAAGCCUUUGGGUUCAAAGCUACGUGCUUUGUGAGCAGAAAAGCCAGACAGCUCUGGGUCUACUUCAUGGAAAAGUUAAAACUCCUGUUCCUGAUUUAUUGUGGAAGCAUUUUCCAUCACUGUCCCUGCAGAAUGCUAAAAAAAAAUUAUGAAAAUUAAUUGCUUCCUCUUCUUCACGGUGCUACAACAUUUAGUUUUUGCUCAAAGCUUUGUCUGACUGCUGAUUUUUAUUAACCUUGCUGGUGUCUUUCCAUUUCUUUGACUCUUCUGACCUGGUGAGCAAAGAGUUUUUACAAGUGCUUCUAUACUCAAAGGAAUAGUUUGAGUAGAGGGCCACAGGUAGAGUUUUGAACUCUUACCCGGCUAGAUGUGAAAUGCAUCCUCUUAAAUAAUUAGAGUAAGGUGUUUAUAAGAUAUUUGGUAUCUUUUUCUGUGUUUAGCUAACUACUGGUAUCAGUAAUUCUUAUUUAUCAUCAUUAUUUCACCAGAACCGUGGCUUUGCAGUGCUCCCAUUAAUGGAAUUGUGAGUGCAUCAGUGGCAGGGAUUUCUUGGCAUGGAAAAAAAUAGAAAAGAUUUCUUGACCACUUGUAGCAGCAUCUCUGUAACCACAUGAGUUAAGAGACCCUGCCCCAUCUGCUAAAGGAUGUUUAUGUUCGUGUGUUUUCAUAAAACUAAAAUGACACUGGCAGUGAUUUUGUUGAUAUGAAGUGUUUGGAUUUCAGAAUAGGUUCCCUUCAAAAUGCCUCUCUGCUGAAAUGAAGCUGUUUUGAGGGGAAGGAUAACUUAGUGACCUUCUAAAUAUUAGAAACCCAGAGAUAAUGAUAAAGACAGCCCUCAUAUUCAGGAGAGCUUUCUAAUGAAGUCCAGCAGUGCUGUUCAACAUGACUCUAAAUGCUUUGGAAUAGCAGGUUGCCACUGAGGUGUCUCACUGACUUUUGGCAAAACUGGGUCUGUACUGUACAGAGCUCAGGAGGGUAAGGGACUUAAACCUGUCUCAGUGCUGUCUGACUGUGUGCUUAUUGCUCUGCAUAACCUUUGGAUGCCAAAGGGAGAGAGGAAAAUCCUGGAACAGACAGCUGCAGGUGGCUGAGGAGCAGUCCACGGCCUGCUUUUGGGAAUAAAUGAGAACAGAAGAGGCAACUUGGGAGGGCUUAGGCUGGAAUUUCCCAUGGUCGUGACACCACGCCGUCCUGGAACGAUCAGCUUUCACUGGGAUAGGCACUGACUUGGGAUGUGGAUCAAGCCUGUUAAGAAGAUUUUUCUAGAGCCUUUAGGAUACCCCUUGGGUGCUAUAAAACCAAGCUCACUUCCCAUUCCUACCUAUUAUGUGUUCAAUUUUGUUCAAAUAAAAACCUCUUGGAAAUUUUAGAAGGACAAAAGAAAGGAGAGAGAGAAGCAGUGUGUGUGCCAGAAAGGGAAAUUAACCCCAGGGCCUUGGGCAAGGAUUUACCACCUUAGCAUUAGAUAUGACAGCGGUGAGAUUCAGGUGUCAGGGAGAGGGGUGGCAAACAGGGAGCCAUCCAGCAGCAGGAGCAGGUUUCACUGAAGAGCCUCCAUUUUAAUGCAACCUGUGUUCUGAUUUAAUAAACAAGCUCGUGUUCCAGCCAUUUCAGUGGAUGUUGUGCCAGGAGGGCACAUGUGAUGGAUCAAGGCUUGAACUCCAUUCGGUACUGAACAGGUGGGGCAGCAAUUUGCUGAGUUGAAGGGUGAAAAGAGCAAGUGUAGAGUUUUGACACGAUAUACUAUAUGACCCCUUUCUCAUGAGUGAAACCACAAAAGGAAUCUCUUUAGUUGGAAAAGGUACUUUGCUAUGCCAGCUACAUAUUUAACAUCUUGUGCUUUUUAAGUAAUAGGUUGAAGUCAAAGUUCAGCUGAAGUUUCAGUGGACUUUUUUUUAUGUGUUUGUGUGUUCUCUCCUGUAGGAAUGAUGACUGUGGGUAAAAACAGACCAUUUUAGAAAAACACCUUUUGUAACCCAUGCCUGUGUUUGAAGUAUGUCUGCUGAGUAUUGGGUUUGAGAGGUGAAUACUACAGGGAAUUUUUUUCAGCCUGAUUUAUCGAACUUUAUGGCUUCACAGGAGGAAAUAUUUAGAAGUCUCAUUUCAGUACUGUUUUAGGAUGCUGCUUAUUUGAUGAAACUAUUAUGCCAUAAAAACUGGGUGAUUUGUGGAGAGAUGAUGGGCUCUGGCAGUGUUUAUCCACCCAAAUCACUUCCUUUCUUGGAAUCAAGUGUUUUUAUGUAGAGCGUGAAACACAAAAAGAGAGCAGGAAAGAGAGGAGAUAAAGCACAGUAUUAAAUAGAAGCUCUAUUGAGAGAAAAUAAAGUGAAUGCUAAUGGGGACCUGAGAGAUUCCAAGUCUUCCAAUGUAUUUUUUCCUUGUUUGUUCCAUAUAAAUCCCCACCAGUCAUUCUUCAGAAGGAAGGACAUACAACAAGUGAUGUCAUAUUGGCUGCCAGAAUUCCCUCAUUUCCCACACUUGUGUGUUUCAACAAAGGAGGAGGUUGUUGGAUGAGAGGAAUAUACUCUUGGAGUCUGGAGAAUGUAUUUUAAGUCUGGUGGACAAACCAUCAUGUUUCUUGAUCAACUGAUACAAACUCUUUUCCCAAGCUGAGUUGCAUCUCACAGCAAAUCCACAUCAUUUUGUUUAGCAAUAGAAAUGUGUAGCUCAUUAGGCAAAUUUGGAUACGUUCAAUUGCUGAAGGAAGGCAAGUCAGGAGUGAUGGGAGAGGUUUAAUGAAAUUGAGUUUGUGACACAAAUAUUCUGUAGUGUCUAGGAGGUUUUUGUGCAGGGGUGUGCAGCUCUGUGCUGCUUAUACUGAAAUUGCCUGAUGGAGAUCCAUUUUCAAAAGUAAUCUAAGUUUCAAGAGGUUGUCAGGUUUCUGAUCCAGGUUUUUGCUUGAUUUGUAUGACUACUACAAGCAGCCAGUUAGCUAUUUAAGUUAUGCUCUCUUCUCUGCAAAUUGAUAUUUUAAAUAUCUUAUAAUGAGGUCCUUUCCAAUUUCGGGUCUAAACUAUCUGUCCUUACUGUAACUAUGGACAAAUCUGUAUUUUUCUUUAUUUUCUCCCACAGAUCAAUAUUUAGAAGUUAGUUAAUAAAGCCAGAUCACUCUGGUGCUACACUGAGUGUCAGCAUGAGCAGUUUGUGGCAAAUUGUUCCUUCUUGAUGAAGUAUUUAUAGGCAGUGGGACUGAGAAGGGCGAUUGUUGCCAAAGCUUUGGCACCCCUACAGAAUUCUCCUAAGAAUAAAGAUGAUUCAGAUAAAGGCCAGGAGGGAUUUGCUGGCUGCUGGAAUCAGACAGUUGUGUGAUGCACAGUUCUCGUUUGAUAUCAGCUGGUGUUCCAGUGGCUUGCUGCUCUGCAAACUCCAAACACCAACCAAACAGAUGAAUUUAAACAGUGGGAUGGUUUUAUAUUUACAUAAAGGGAAAAACACAGGAAACUCAGAGAGCUUGGGGAAGGUCCCCACUGGGUGAGAAGGGUGGCAUUUGAUUUAUUAUUAUUUUAAUUGCCUAACAGUGCUAAGGGAGAGUCUAAAGUCCCUGGAGAAACCUUCAAAGGGGGAAAGAUAAAUAUUGAAAAAUGUUAUUUAUAGCCUUUAGUGUUUCACCCAUGUAAAUACAAAAAUGAAAUCCAAGGGCUGAUCACAUCUUCUGAAGUUUCUCCUUCGCAUAAGCAAUGCUGAAGAGGCAAACACAGCUGCCCAAAAAUAAUGGCAAUGUGAGGCCUUUGGCUGUGUGUCCUCCACCCAACUGCCUCUCCCGGCCCUCGUGUUCCCAGGCUGCUGUUGGCAGAACGUGGGUGUAGGAUGGGCUCCUGUCAGACUCUCCCGUGAUCCAUAAUGGGCAUUGAGACGUGCCAGCAUGGAGUGCUCCAUUGGAUUUGAUUUGGGAAUAAUGGCUGCAGUCAGAGACAGAGGAAGGAUUUUCUGCUUUCAGAUUCUUGUCAUUUCCCCUCUCUAUGGCCUCCCAGCCUCCUGGUGUGGAACUCUGACUGCAUGGUUAUCACCCUCUGAUCAAGUUUACUAAAAAUUAUUCUGAUCAGUCCAAAAGUGUUUAAUUUUCUUUCCCUAGAUUAUUUUGAGAAACAGCUGUGUUGCUGCACUGAGACUGAAAGGGAUGUUAUGAUCUGGGUGGGGGUAGCUGUGUGCAGUACAAGUUAGGGGGAAUAACUUCUUAUCUGACUCAGUCAUAGCCAGAGAAGAUAAUCCAAUACACUUUUUAGGCUUGGACACCAUUAUCUAGUGCAUGAAAGAGACUGUCCCCCCCAAAUAUUUAUUAAUAUAUGCUUCGGAAAAAAUUCAGGAUGAAGAUCAUGAAAAAGGAAAACACUUUUUAUUGACAGGAUUGAUUUUAAACAUGCCAUAGGAGGUGCUUUGUUUCCCAUUCCAGCUCUGGUUUGACACUUAAAAUAGGCUCAUUUUGAAUGAUUCCUCGGUGGCCUGUGGUUGUUUUGAAGUCAGUGGCUCCUCUGUCCAGUUUGUCAGGGCUCUGGGGUGUUUGCUGCCUGCCUGGCCAGUCAUGCAGACUGCAGCUUCUCUAGAAUGUGUUGUACGUGAACAUGGUAAAUAACCACAUCAGAUUUGUGUCUCAGUUUUGACAUAAAUGAGAAGGAAAGAGCAAUCUGAAGUUUAGGAAGCAUUUUUAGCAUGCAAACAUAAUGAAUGAUGUGUUGUGGGUUAGAGCUCCUCACUUGCCAUUCUUUCUUGUUGAUAUGAUGACCGACCCCAGAAAAAACCCCGAAAACUAGAAGAAAGUGCUCUCUCUCUCUCUCUCUCUCUCUCUCUCUCCGUUCCUGUGCCACCAAUAACCCUCAGAACAGCCCUUCUCUGCUCUCCACAGAGAUGGACUUUCUGGGGAGUUGGGCUUUGCAUACCAAGGUAAAGGUGCUCUUCCCUUUUUCUUGUGUAUCUGAAGUAUGAGUUUCUUGGGAGAUGAUUUGAUCUGGUACCUCCUUCAGGUAUAGAAGUGCAACACUUCCAUGACUCUAAACAGAACUAGAUCUCUCUGUGGGUAUUCUACAACUUGCUGCUCAGUCUCCUAAAAUGUCCAUCAUCUCACUGGGACACCAGUGGGCAGAUUUGGAAGAUCCUGAAUCAAAGCCAUGCAGAUAAAGUCUCAAUUUCUCAUCAGGCUGAGUUUUGUACCUGUUUAUAUACACAAGAUUUUGUGUUUACAGUUUGUUUGCAUUAAGAUAUACCUAUUUAUUUGAGCUAUGUGAUAGGACAUUAUUAGAAAAUAUAUUGGGGAACCACCCACAAAUGCUUACAGUGAGUAAAUUCUUAUCCUGUGUUACAGGAUUCCUUCCUAGUUUGGUUGGAGACAUGCCCCCAAAUAUAUAAUUCAGUAUUUAUUUUUGAAGGGGUUAUUCUUGUGACUCCUGAUAGAGUUGCUUUCAUGGAGUUACUCUUAGAGAAUUAUUUUUAAAUUAUUGGGGAACAGUGAGACACAUCUUCAAAUAUAAGUCAUCUGGUGUAUGGAAUGCAGAUGCUGAGAGUUUUGGUGGGUUCUGUCCAUAUUGUUCAGUGCAUUUUGAGUGCUCACUGAGACGAAGAACAGCAGAAUUUAAUCUGCUGGUUCUGAGAACAAGUUUGCUAUUGAUGAAAUAAGUGAUGCCUGACUUUUCGUAUGCCAGAUAAUGCUGAUUUCUGUUUGUUUUCUGCUGUUUUCCUUUUUUAUUACCUUUGCCCCUCUUGGCCUUUUCAGUAAUAUUAAAUUUUUCCAAUAGAGCACUUAACUUGUGUGCUAUCAAAAAGCUCCCUCUGUGAAAUUCCAAUGAACAGUACUACUGUGUGGGGUUUGGGGUUUUUUUAGUGCUUUGGGUUUUCUUUCUCCUUUUCUCAGACUUCUAGAUAUCAUUGCUGCCUUCUCACCUGCCAACAUGGACUGAUAAUUAAAGCAAACCACAGCAUGAGCAUGUUUAUCCUUAAUUUGUGCUCUUUCAGGAGUGCCCAUGAAGGGAACAUUUCUUUGGUGACAUUCGUGCACUUUGGGAAUGUUGAGCUGCAGGUAACAACUUCAAAAUAACACUGUCAGCUACUUGGGGGUAUUUCUUACCCAAAA
Long non-coding RNA from Corapipo altera (White-ruffed manakin), 7351 nucleotides. RefSeq lists it as uncharacterized. The transcript is spliced from 4 exons. Lineage: Eukaryota; Metazoa; Chordata; Aves; Passeriformes; Pipridae. The record is from RefSeq and is a predicted model, not a curated record.